This 480-nucleotide ribosomal RNA is filed under the name uncultured bacterium. Its description in RNAcentral is "SSU rRNA". It matches the Rfam family "Bacterial small subunit ribosomal RNA", at positions 26 to 518 of the family's 1533-position model. The record is from RNAcentral.
AGGAUAAACGCUGGCGGCGUGCCUAACACAUGCAAGUCGAACGCCCUUUUGUGCCGCAAGGUGGAAGAGGGAGUGGCGGACGGGUGAGGAACACGUGGGUGACCUACCUUUCAGUGAGGAAUACCGGCGAGAAAUCGCCGACAAGACCGCAUACGGUUGCUGCAUCAGCGCAGCAACGAAAGCUUCACGAGAGUGAGGCGCUGGAAGAUGGGCCUGCGGCCGAUUAGCUAGCUGGUGGGGUAACGGCCUACCAGGGCGACGAUCGGUAGCUGGUCUGAGAGGACGAUCAGCCACACUGGGAUUGAGAACGGCCCAGACUCCUACGGGGGGCAGCAGUGAGGAAUUUUCCGCAAUGGGCGAAAGCCUGACGGAGCGACGCCGCGUGUGGGAAGAAGGCCUUCGGGUCGUAACCACUGUCGAAGGGGAAGAUAUUGACGGUACCCUUGGAGGAAGCCCGGCUAACUACGUGCCAGCAGCCGC